Unclassified non-coding RNA from Cercocebus atys (sooty mangabey), 96 nucleotides. It matches the Rfam family "Y RNA". Rfam says of the family: Y RNAs are components of the Ro ribonucleoprotein particle (Ro RNP), in association with Ro60 and La proteins. The record is from Ensembl. Lineage: Eukaryota; Metazoa; Chordata; Mammalia; Primates; Cercopithecidae.
GGCUGGUCCAAUGGUGUUGGGUUAUCAGAAUUUGUUGACAUUAGUGUCACUAAACUUGAUAUACAACCCCCUACUGCUAAAGUUCACUGGCUUUAA